Ribosomal RNA from Rhodococcus sp. RD6.2, 782 nucleotides. It matches the Rfam family "Bacterial large subunit ribosomal RNA", at positions 2145 to 2925 of the family's 2925-position model. NCBI's taxonomy places the organism in Bacteria, Bacillati, Actinomycetota, Actinomycetes, Mycobacteriales, Nocardiaceae. The record is from Rfam.
AGGUGGGAGACUGUGAAGCGGGCACGCCAGUGUUCGUGGAGUCGUUGUUGAAAUACCACUCUGAUCGUAUUGGACAUCUAACCUCGGACCAUGAUCUGGUUCAGGGACAGUGCCUGGUGGGUAGUUUAACUGGGGCGGUUGCCUCCCAAAAUGUAACGGAGGCGCCCAAAGGUUCCCUCAGCCUGGUUGGCAAUCAGGUGUUGAGUGCAAGUGCACAAGGGAGCUUGACUGUGAGACUGACAGGUCGAGCAGGGACGAAAGUCGGGACUAGUGAUCCGGCACCGGCAUGUGGAAGCGGUGUCGCUCAACGGAUAAAAGGUACCCCGGGGAUAACAGGCUGAUCUUCCCCAAGAGUCCAUAUCGACGGGAUGGUUUGGCACCUCGAUGUCGGCUCGUCGCAUCCUGGGGCUGGAGUAGGUCCCAAGGGUUGGGCUGUUCGCCCAUUAAAGCGGCACGCGAGCUGGGUUUAGAACGUCGUGAGACAGUUCGGUCUCUAUCCGCCGCGCGCGUUAGAAACUUGAGGAAGGCUGUCCCUAGUACGAGAGGACCGGGACGGACGAACCUCUGGUGUGCCAGUUGUCCUGCCAAGGGCACUGCUGGUUAGCUACGUUCGGAAGGGAUAACCGCUGAAAGCAUCUAAGCGGGAAGCCUGUUCCAAGAUGAGGUUUCUCACCCCCUUGAGGGGGUAAGGCCCCCGGCAGACUACCGGGUUGAUAGGCCAGAACUGGAAGUGCAGUAAUGCAUGUAGGUGACUGGUACUAAUAGGCCGAGGACUUACCACA